GGCGUGGGGCUGCUUACCAUGCAGUCGAACGGCAGCACGGACUUCGGUCUGGUGGCGAGUGGCGAACGGGUGAGUAAUAUAUCGGAACGUACCCUGGAGUGGGGGAUAACGCAGCGAAAGUUGCGCUAAUACCGCAUACGAUCUACGGAUGAAAGUGGGGGAUCGCAAGACCUCAUGCUCGUGGAGCGGCCGAUAUCUGAUUAGCUAGUUGGUAGGGUAAAAGCCUACCAAGGCGACGAUCAGUAGCUGGUCUGAGAGGACGACCAGCCACACUGGAACUGAGACACGGUCCAGACUCCUACGGGAGGCAGCAGUGGGGAAUUUUGGACAAUGGGGGCAACCCUGAUCCAGCAAUGCCGCGUGAGUGAAGAAGGCCUUCGGGUUGUAAAGCUCUUUUGUCAGGGAAGAAACGGUGGGGGCUAAUAUCCUCUGCUAAUGACGGUACCUGAAGAAUAAGCACCGGCUAACUACGUGCCAGCAGCCGCGGUAAUACGUAGGGUGCAAGCGUUAAUCGGAAUUACUGGGCGUAAAGCGUGCGCAGGCGGUUAUAUAAGUCAGAUGUGAAAUCCCCGGGCUCAACCUGGGCACUGCAUUUGAGACUGUAUGGCUAGAGUGUGUCAGAGGGGGGUAGAAUUCCACGUGUAGCAGUGAAAUGCGUAGAUAUGUGGAGGAAUACCGAUGGCGAAGGCAGCCCCCUGGGAUAACACUGACGCUCAUGCACGAAAGCGUGGGGAGCAAACAGGAUUAGAUACCCUGGUAGUCCACGCCCUAAACGAUGUCUACUAGUUGUCGGGUCUUAAUUGACUUGGUAACGCAGCUAACGCGUGAAGUAGACCGCCUGGGGAGUACGGUCGCAAGAUUAAAACUCAAAGGAAUUGACGGGGACCCGCACAAGCGGUGGAUGAUGUGGAUUAAUUCGAUGCAACGCGAAAAACCUUACCUACCCUUGACAUGGAAGGAAUCCCUGAGAGAUUGGGGAGUGCUCGAAAGAGAGCCUUCACACAGUGCUGCAUGG
Molecule: ribosomal RNA, 1015 nt
Filed under: uncultured bacterium
Lineage: Bacteria
Description: bacterial SSU rRNA
Rfam family: Bacterial small subunit ribosomal RNA
Source: RNAcentral